This 408-nucleotide transfer-messenger RNA is filed under the name Candidatus Gottesmanbacteria bacterium RBG_13_37_7. It matches the Rfam family "transfer-messenger RNA". From Rfam's summary of the family: Bacterial tmRNA, also known as 10Sa RNA or SsrA, is named for its dual tRNA and mRNA-like properties. Its role is to liberate the mRNA from a stalled ribosome. Lineage: Bacteria; Candidatus Gottesmaniibacteriota. The record is from RNAcentral.
UGAUCGACGGGAAUGCACUUUAAAAACUGCAAGCCGACUUGAUAUACAGUCGUAAAACAAAUAUCAAAAAAUAAAUGCUGAUGAUAACAUCCGCGACCUAGAAGCUAAAGUUAAAGCGGCGGAAGCCAAAUUAGCAGAACUUUUAGGUGCCCGACAAGCAGUUUUUGCGCAAGCAUAUACUGUUUAAAGGCCAUCUGUAGUUUCUUUUUCUGAUGGGAUACUACAGGUGUAAAUACAGUCAGGAUGCUCCCGAUAAAUUGACAGAUUAUCGGGAAAAGAUUUUGUCUUACUUUUGUUGUUGAUUUUUGGUUGGGAUACAGCAAGAGGAGAAUUUACAACCAAAUAAGCUUGUAGAUGUUUUUAAAAUGAAUUCUUCGGACUCCGCUUCACUGGCGGACAUCUCCACAA